This 76-nucleotide transfer RNA is filed under the name Gammaproteobacteria bacterium. RNAcentral describes it as "tRNA-Val". It matches the Rfam family "tRNA". Rfam says of the family: Transfer RNA (tRNA) molecules are approximately 80 nucleotides in length. Their secondary structure includes four short double-helical elements and three loops (D, anti-codon, and T loops). Further hydrogen bonds mediate the characteristic L-shaped molecular structure. tRNAs have two regions of fundamental functional importance: the anti-codon, which is responsible for specific mRNA codon recognition, and the 3' end, to which the tRNAs corresponding amino acid is attached (by aminoacyl-tRNA synthetases). tRNAs cope with the degeneracy of the genetic code in two manners: having more than one tRNA (with a specific anti-codon) for a particular amino acid; and 'wobble' base-pairing, i.e. permitting non-standard base-pairing at the 3rd anti-codon position. RNAcentral also lists the same sequence under 1 other name. The record is from RNAcentral. Lineage: Bacteria; Pseudomonadati; Pseudomonadota; Gammaproteobacteria.
AGGCGCGUAGCUCAGCGGUAGAGCGCUGCUACAACAUAGCGGAGGUCGGAGGUUCGAAUCCUGCCCGCGCCUACCA